This 1685-nucleotide ribosomal RNA is filed under the name Dendroctonus mexicanus. Its description in RNAcentral is "partial 18S ribosomal RNA". It matches the Rfam family "Eukaryotic small subunit ribosomal RNA", at positions 76 to 1674 of the family's 1831-position model. Lineage: Eukaryota; Metazoa; Arthropoda; Insecta; Coleoptera; Curculionidae. The record is from RNAcentral.
UUAAUGUNAAUCNGCNAAAGGCUCAUUAAAUCACUUAUGGUUCCUUAUAUCGUACCCACACUUACUUGGAUAACUGUGGUAAUUCUANAGCUAAUACAUGCNAACAGAACUCCGACCAGAGAUGGAAGGAGUGCUUUUAUUACAUCAAAACCAAUCGGUGGCGGGCUUGCUCUUCAUCGUACAACUUGGUGACUCUGAAUAACUUUACGCUGAUCGCACGGUCUUAGCACCGGCGACGCAUCUUUCAAAUGUCUGCCUUAUCAACUGUCGAUGGUAGGUUCUGCGCCUACCAUGGUUGUAACGGGUAACGGGGAAUCAGGGUUCGAUUCCGGAGAGGGAGCCUGAGAAACGGCUACCACAUCCAAGGAAGGCAGCAGGCGCGCAAAUUACCCACUCCCGGCACGGGGAGGUAGUGACGAAAAAUAACGAUACGGGACUCAUCCGAGGCCCCGUAAUCGGAAUGAGUACAAUCUAAACCCUUUAACGAGGAUCAAUUGGAGGGCAAGUCUGGUGCCAGCAGCCGCGGUAAUUCCAGCUCCAAUAGCGUAUAUUAAAGUUGUUGCGGUUAAAAAGCUCGUAGUCGAAUUUGUGUCUCUUGCCGCCGGUUUAUCGUUCGCGGUAUUACUGGCGAGUCACGAGACGUCCUGCCGGUGGGCUUAGCUCGCAAGGGCGGCCCAACUCAAUCCUGCCGCGGUGCUCUUCAUUGAGUGUCGAGGUGGGCCGGCACGUUUACUUUGAACAAAUUAGAGUGCUUAAAGCAGGCUAAAACUUCGCCUGAAUACUGUGUGCAUGGAAUAAUGGAAUAGGACCUCGGUUGUAUUUUGUUGGUUUUNGGAACCCCGAGGUAANGAUUAAUAGGCACNGANGGGGGNAUUNNNAUNGCGACGNNAGGAGUANNNNNNNNNNNNGGUGNNCNCNNNNNNNNNNNNNNNNNNNNNNNNCAAAAANGCUUUCAUUGAUCAAGAACGAAAGUUAGAGGUUCGAGGCGAUCAGAUACCGCCCUAGUUCUAACCUUAAACGAUGCCAGCUAGCGAUCCGUCGACGUUCCUCCGAUGACUCGACGGGCAGCUUCCGGGAAACCAAAGCUUUUGGGUUCCGGGGGAAGUAUGGUUGCAAAGUGAAACUUAAAGGAAUUGACGGAAGGGCACCACCAGGAGUGGAGCCUGCGGCUUAAUUUGACUCAACACGGGAAAUCUCACCAGGCCCGGACACCGGAAGGAUUGACAGAUUGAGAGCUCUUUCUUGAUUCGGUGGGUGGUGGUGCAUGGUCGUUCUUAGUUGGUGGAGCGAUUUGUCUGGUUAAUUCCGAUAACGAACGAGACUCUAGCCUGCUAAAUAGGCGUAUUUUGACAUCCUAAAGGCCCGCCGGCUUGGGGUUCGCUCCUUGUCGUGCGCGGUUUUUACUGUCGGCGUACAAACAAUUCUUCUUAGAGGGACAGGUGGCUUCUAGUCGCACGAGAUUGAGCAAUAACAGAUCUGUAAUGCCCUUAGAUGUUCUGGGCCGCACGCGCGCUACACUGAAGGAAUCAGCGUGUCCUCCCUGGCCGAGUGGCCCGGGUAACCCGCUGAACCUCCUUCGUGCUAGGGAUUGGGGCUUGCAAUUGUUCCCCAGAACGAGGAAUUCCCAGUAAGCGCGAGUCAUAAGCUCNCGUUGAUUACNUCCCUGCCCUUUGUACACACCGCCC